Molecule: long non-coding RNA, 9459 nt
Organism: Mastomys coucha (southern multimammate mouse)
Lineage: Eukaryota; Metazoa; Chordata; Mammalia; Rodentia; Muridae
Exons: 2
Source: RefSeq, a predicted model, not a curated record
CUCCUCCUCCUCCUCCUCCUCUCUUCUGUUCUCGUUUCUCUGCUUGCUUCCUUCCUUUCAUUGAAACAGGGUCUCACCCUGUAAGCUGAUCUACACUUUGCUCUAUGGUGCAGGCCAGCCUAGAAUUCAGGGCAAAUCCUGCAGCCUUCAUGAAUUGCUUGUGUGACGUUCUACACCUAAUACCUGUUUUAUAGUCCUCCUUUCUUGUAUGAUGAUACAGUGCACUUCAUAGACACUCAGGAAGUAGAUGGUGUCUUUUAGAGAAAAAAAAUCUAACAAUGUGAGCAUUACAGGAAUCCGUGAAGUCGACAUAAAAUAAUUAGAAAUACAUUCUCACGCACAGCCACAUGACCUAUGUUACAUCCCUUCUUUACAAACAUUCGAGAUGAAAAUAUAGGCCAAGUUUGCAGGCUCUGGUGACAGUAGACUCUACAGAAGGAAAUGCAUAACUGAUUUCAGACCAGUCCAACAGAGGUCAUUUGUAAGUCAACCUUGAGGAAAUUAUAUCUGAAAGCAACAUUGUAUCAGUCAUGGCAAUAGCAGAAGCAAAGAAAAGGUCAUGAAGUUACAAAAUAACCAGUUUUUCAAUGAUGAUGGCUAUUUUUUAAAAAAGACAAAGUGUUUCUAUGUAGUUGGCUGACCUAGAAAUCACUGCAUAAACCAAGCUGCAUAAACUGCAUAAACUAAACACACAUAGAUCUGCCCACCACUGUUUCCCCUGUGCUAGGAGUACAGCACUGUGCCACCCCACCCUGCCCAAUGAUAAGACUAUUUCAGCUAAGGAGGCAGCUAAGGUGUUACAAUUGAAUAAGGAGCAGUUAAUACCACAGCAUGUAUGGACACCAGCAAAAUAAAAGGAAAACCAAUGUGUCCUGCUUUCUCUGCUUGAGUCUUAAGUUAAAAUGAAAACUUCCAGGGUGUUGAUGGCUGGCCAGGCCCCUGGGAAGUGAUCAUGAGGGCAGGGCACUCACAAACGGAAGAAAUAUCCUCAUGGAAGAUUCCCCCAGAGAGCAAGCUAACCCUUUCAGCCAUGUGGGAACAUGCAUGGAAGAUACCACCAGUGAACCAGCAAGGGCCCCUCCCCCUGACACCAGAUCUACUCCACCUUGAUCUUGGAGUUCUAUUCUCCAAAGCUGGAAUGAAUUUCUGUGUUCAGCUUAUAGUCUGUGAUGUAUCAGUACAGCAUCCUGAGUGGCCUGAGACACAUGGGAAGCAGAGAUAGUGCUCUGACAAUGGGCCGAUCCUGUAUGGUAGUUAAUUCCUUGGGUUGAUCUGGUCCAUUUCAAAUGGAAAGGUGCCAUUUAUGCUAAGACUGUGUUCAUUAUCAUAGCAAAAAAAUCCAGUAGAAUCAAAAGGAGUAAAAAGUAAUAAAUGAGUUUUAAGGGAAGAGGCUUCCUUUUUAAAAAAUAAAAUUUCCCUUUUAUUUUUAUUUUGUGUAUGAAUGUUUUGCCUGUACGUGUGUGUACGGUAUGAGUGCAGUACCAGAGAAGGCCAGAAGGGGGCGAUGGAUGCCCUGGUAAUAGAAGGAAAGCAUACUUCCCAAGGGGGGAAAAAUGGGGCUAUUAACAAUGGUAAGGUGUAAGAGAAAGUUCUUUAAAAUAUGGCAUUAUGGCGCUGAGACAACUCUAAUACUAGCUAAGAAAGGAGAUACCAAAGGAACAUGGUACUCCAUUACCAAAAGUCAUGAAACAGAAAAACAAAUACAACUUACCUUUCUGAGAAACAGAACUUAAAAUGGAAACACAUUAUGAUUGGCAACAUAGGAAGACAGAACUAAACUGCAUUUGUCUAUUUUCUGUCGUUAUAACAAAAUACUCAAAGCCAUGGAUUUUAUAAAUACAAGAAGUUCAUUUAGCUCACACUUUUGGAAGUUCAAGGGCUUGGUGCUGGAUCCCUGGAUGAGUCAUAUCUUGAUGGAUAAAAAAUCGUGCCUGUAUAAGAGGGAAUGGUCAUGGUGAGAAGACAACCCAGAGAGCACGGAGGGGCCAGGCUUGAUCUUUUAUUCACUCUCUGGAGAACAAGUAGGGGCUUCAUUAGACCUACUGUAUAUAAUUUUUUUCCCGGGGCAUUGUCCCAGUGAAGGUACAUGCGUGUGCAUGUGUGUAAGGCCAUUUCUAGAGAGAAUUAACUGAGGAGGGAAAACCUACCCUGAAUGUGGGUGAUACCAUUCUAUGAGCUGGGGGCCAAACAGAUAAUAUGGGGAGAGAAGAAAGGAGCUAAUUGCCAGCAUUCCUGUUCUCUGCCGCCCCCUCCACAGAGAGGUGAGGAAGCCUUGUGGCUAGCUCCAGCCACCCUGGGCAGAGCCAGUCUAGGUUGUCACGCCUUCUGUGACGUGAUGGACUGGGUUCCUUUAGAAUAUGGACCAAAAUAAAUCUUUUACCUCUAAAUUGCUUCAGUCAGAUUUUGUCGUAGCAAAAAGGAGAGUAACCAAUAUACAUUCCAACCCUCUACUUUUGACCUUACAGAGGUUUAAGUGUUUCAAAAUUUAUUUUUUUAAACAAUAUCUGUAAAAAUAAAUAUCUGCAAAUAAUUUGAGCUGGUGGGAAAAGUAAUGUAGGAACAAUUGAAAAUGCUAUUACAUAUAGCACUAUUUUAUAAACAUAUUUACCCCAAGAAAUGCUAAAAAAAAAAGAAGGUGCACAUUUGGAUAUUAGAGAGAUUUUCUUUUUAAGAUUUAUCUAUUUUUUUGUAUAUGAGUACCUCUUCUUCAUGCUCUAUCUUCAUUACAACUGCGUGCCAGAAGAGGGCAUUGGAUCCCAUUACAGAUGGUUGUAAACUACCAUGUGGUUGCUGGGGAUUGAACUCAGGACCUCUAGAAGAGCAGACUGAGCCAUCUCUACAGCCCUGGAGAUCUUUCCAAUUUUAUUUUAAAUUAAAAUUUCAAGUUAUCACACAAACUGAUGAGUUUCCCUGAGACUCAUAUCGAUCUCCAUGCAUAUGAAUUACUGACUUCCAUCUCAUCUGGACCCAUGUCCCAGAUUCCUCCUUCCAGCCGCCUCUCUUGCUUUCCUCACCAAGGCCCUACCUCUGCUUUCCUGUUAUGUGUAUUCCAUUGCUGCCCAUUCUCCCAUUUCUUUAAUAUCUUUCUCUCCACUCAUGGUCCCCUUUGAGUUUGGUGACAUAUAAAUACACACAUACAGAUACACGUGUAGGUAAGCAAACACACACACAUAUAAUUUCAAAUCUAGAUUCUGCCUAUAAGAGAAACCAUGCAGUAUUUGUCCCAGUCAGGCUUAUUCUGCUUAGUGCAAUGACUCCCGCCUACAUUGUUCUUCCUGCAAAGGUAGAGAUCAUUUUGAAACAGAGUCGCCGAAAUGCUAAGGGGUUGGACAUUCGCUGUAAUAUGGCUUUCUCGUGCCUGGUUUAGGGGUUAAAUGGUUUGACUCAGCAUAAACAUUGAUUCAGCUAUUAAUCAAAAAGAAAGGGGCCCUGCAUAAAUCCUACCUGUCCUUUUCUCAUCUGAGGAAUACAGCAAAUGUCUUCUUCCAGACGAGGGUCAGCAAUGUGACAGAGGCUGUAAAUCACUGGCUGUGCUGUUUGGGUGGACGGUGGCAAGCGAUAAGAGCAGCAGUGUUUGAGCACGGAUGACACUUUGUUUUCUCUGCUCCCACUCGAUUGUUUAUAUGCGUCAGCUGGCCAACAGUAACAUUUAAAAGCCAUGACCUCGGAGGAAAUUAAACUAACAAAGACUGUCCACAGCGAGGCUCUGGGCGCCCGAGUCACAGGUACGGUACCGAGUGGCUGCUGUGAGUUACCAGUUAAAGACAGACGCUCCCUUUCCCUGUUGUUCUUUGUGUGUAAAAAUGCCUGGAUUUACUUCCUGGUCAUCUACACAAUGACCUCUCCAGGGCUGGAUUGAGCAGAGCACCCAGACAUGAGCAAAGCCAAGCCAGGCACCUCAGAAGAUACCCGUCAUCCAUGCUGAACUCUUGGCAGAGCUCCUUGGUGUCUCCACUUGGCUCUUAGUGCAUGUCCUUACAUUUAAUCCUAUCAAUCUGGAUUAUCUCAUUUUCCAUCUCCAGAGUACAAGAAGGAAUGAAGUUAGAAAGCCAGAGUGAUUAAGGGAACCAGACCCAUCACCCUAGUUAGAAAUGGUAGCUAGAAUAGGAAAGAGUCAUCCAACUUUUUUUCUAGGCGUGGCAAGGUGGAAGGGCAACCAAGAUGGUCGUGAAUAUCUGCUUCUCCUCGAGACUUGGCUCUACUGUAUCUAAGCUGUAUAUUAGCUCGGAGACAUGAAAUAUUCUACUUAAGGUAUAAUCUAAUAUGGAGAAAUGAUCACUCAAAAUGCCAUGGUUUUAUUUUGUCUUUCUUUUUAAGGCAGAGUUAAUGGGUUAUCAGGUAGCCCAGACUAUAACCUGAUGUCUUCCUGCUUCCAUCUCCCAAGUGGUGGGAUCAUAAAUAUGUGCUACCACGCCAGGCAAACCUCUUACAGAUAAGGAUAGCAUUUAGUUAGUCUCCCUGUUCAUCAGUACUAGAUAAAUUAGAAUCACCCUAGUCGUUUGCAGCAAACGGAGCCUCUCUCUUUUUAUUCUUAGUGCUCAGAGCAGCUUGACUUUAGACUCUUAUUUUCACUCUUGUGUUGUCCCUGAGAUAGUCCUCGCAGCGGCUUGGAGCACAGUGGGAAAGUGUGGACCGACCCUGCCUUUCUUGGCAGGAUAGAAAGGAGAGGAGAGGGAUGAUGAAUCCUUGCUGCUUGAUUCCCAGUGUGUGGGAUAGCCUUGUCUUGCUUGAACUUUCUACAGCUCAGUUUGUGUUUAAAAAGAAAGUAGAAAAUGGCUUCUUUAGAUGCUGCACACACUUCUCUUUUGAAAGGUGACAGUCAGAUCUGGAGUAAGAGUAGCCAAACUCUGUUAGGCUAAAACUGAGUCUCUCCUCCCUCCCUCCCUCCAUCCCUCCCUCCAUCCCUCUCUCCCCCCACCUCUCCCUUCUUCCUUCUCAUCCUCGCCUAGGGAUGCACAUAGUCUGCAAGGAUGCACACAGUCUGCUAAGAGGAUUCAACAGUGUCUGAGAAAGCCAUGCCCCACUAUAAUUUUCUGUGACUUAGAUGAUGAAACUGACCACAUCCCUUGAGACGUUCCAGAUCCUGUUAACUCACCCAUGUCCUGCUUGUACAGGGUGAUUUUUAAAUGUAUUUUGUUGUUCUUGAUAGUAUAAGUCUCUUACCCAUUUCUAAUCUUCUCUCAUUAGAAAUCGCAAGCUCUACCUGGCUGUGUGAUCAUCUCCACGGCUAUAUAAUUGCAUGUUUAUCGGGAGACGUAAAAGAGUGGGCGUCCCAGGCGCCUCUCAUGUAAAUCGCUAAAAACCCAGAUUUCAUUUGGAGGUUAAAAUAUCUGUAUAUAAGCCAGGUGUGGCGGUACAUAAUCAUAAACACUGCUACUCAGGAGACGGAGGCAAGGGGAUCCCUUGAGCCUAGAGGCCGGCCUAGGGAAGAGAGUGAGGCCUCAUCUAAAAUAAAAUGUAAUUUGUGGCUGUAAAGCUUUCGCUGCCGUUCCUCUCAGGUACAAGGAAAUGUGUAGUGCCCAACCCUGGGCUUCAAAAACAAAGAAGAGAAGUUAAUCGGAGAAGUACCAGAUUGGCGGUGAUCUGGUUACAUCCUCCAUUAGUAUUUCUUGCCACCUGUUCCUUGGCAGGGCCAGCAUCUGGGAUGGAAACAGGAAGAAACAAGGGACCCAGGUGCCUAUCAGGUCUGCCUCCAGCUGUGUAGUCCUAUGGCUAUGGCCAAGGUAGAGGAAGAAAACACUUGUGAGCUUUCUUGUUGUUGUAAGUUCUAGGUACCUUAGGUCACAAAUACUGUCUUCCUUAAAAACAUAGCCAUGUGCCAUUAAGUGUCUACAGAGUGCAAAAAGGAAAUCUGUCCCCUCCUCAUGAUUUUUUUUUUUCAAAACCUAAUGACAGUAAAAGGUUUGCUCACUUAAAGCUGGAAGACAAAUGAGACUUGCUCAGGAGACCAGAGCAAGUCCUUCCCGGCAGGAGGUGGGAUGGUGGCUGGGGUUUAACCACAGUUACAGUUGCUUAGGUGAACCUGAAGUAGCCCUGUGCUUUUUUGUCAACCGCUGGAUGUCCCCUGGGCGUCCCUGAGGAUUCCUUCCUGGCAGCUUCUUUGAAACAGAGUAGCAUUUGAAAUACAACCACCCACCCCCAGACAGAAGAGCAACUGGUUUCUUCCCUAACCUUCUAAACACACAGGUCAGGCCUCUGAAGGUGAAAGGCUAUCUUUUCAGAAGGCUAUCUUUUCAGCCCGGAACCAGGAGUCUGGUGUUUCUCAGACCAUCCAUCAGACUUCUAUGUAUCAUAAGACCCCUUCUCUUGUUCCCAUGUAUUAUUUUUUAAUAUAAAUGGAUCUUAUUUUUUAUUUACUUUUAAAGUGUAGAAACAACACAUUCAGAAGUCUUUUUUUAUUAAACCAAUGAGUUAGAAUAAAAUGAUGUCAUUUCCAUCUUGGAGGUCACUGUAAGUCUUUUGGGAUAUCCUUAAUUAUGGUUUUUUCGUUGCAUAGUCUCUCCCUCCCUCCCUCUCCCCACCCCCUCAUGGCUUAGCAUCAAAUAGAAUGUUUAUGUAUGUAGCUGAGGAUGACCUUGACUUCUGAUCCUCCUGAGUCCACCUAGGAGGGCUGGGGUUACAGGUGUGUCAACCACACAGGAUUUUUAUGGUGGUGACCAUCAAACCCUGGACUUCAUGCAGCUAUGCAGCUAUGCAGCUAUGCAGCUAAGCAAGCACUGCCAACUCAGCUGCACUCCCAGCUCCUCAAACAGGGAGGCUGGUGGAGGUAUCUGCCCCAGAGAGCCCACUGUCCAUUAUAUUAGGCUGUCGAUAAAUGGAGUUAAUUUAUCUCUGUGGCUCUUUAAUUAACCUACAACUUAUUUUUCUCACAUAAAAAAUAUCUCAACGCAAUGAAAUCUUCAUUUAUCAGCAACCGAGAACCCAGUCUCUGAGACCUGUAGAUGGAAUGGGAGGAGUGUGUUUAUUCUCCGCCCCACAUUGCACUCUGACCCACAUGACAGGGUCGUAUCUGGUGGGCAUGCUGGGAGCUUGGCUCAGUCUACACAAGGAUAUGUUUUGUCCUCCCCAGUAUAAAAGUCAGCCAGCUGUUUGUGAAUGACAGCUCACUUCAGUGACAUUCCUUAGGAGCCACUUUCAAUUGUGUGCUCACUGACCAUUGUUGCUAAAAUGGAGGGUUGGGAGAGAGUCUUGCCAUGUCUACUAACUUCUAAAAUUUCUUACAUAAAGUCAGGGAAAGAUUAAUGGCAAAUGCAGCAUAGUUUAAGUAGAUUUCAUGUUUUAAAACUAUUUUACAUUCACAAAAAUACAGACCAGAAAAGGUCUCCUCAAUAUAGCAUAUGUACACAGAGAUGUCUAACUAUUAUAUUUUACUUAAAAUAAAAAAAAGUUUAAUAAACUAGGCAGGCAGGAGCCAGACAGACCAUAGGUACAUACUAUAACCUAGGCUAUUUGAAGCACGGGAGCCUGGGAGUUUGGGGGCAUCCUGGGCAACAGAACAAGACCUUGUCUCUUAAAACAAAACAAAAUGGCAAAAAGCUUUUUUUUUUUUUAAUUGAAGAAGGGAAGAAAGAAAAGAAGGAAAGGAACAGCAAGAAAAAAGCCUUGUUGAGCCAUCACACAUGCACCAUUCGAAUCAAACUCUUCCUAAUUUUAAUGCAUUUUAUUUUAGCUCUUAAAAAAAAAUCCAGGUAUUUUUAUAUGGGCUAAUGCACGUCUUGCGUGUAUUUGUUUUUUUCAAUCUCUCAGGAGUUGUAGAUGGCACUGUCUCUUUAAUGUUGCUUGCCGUGUCCUGAGGUGUGCUGUGUGUGGUUCUUGCUGCUGUGUGUGUACACAUGAAAUUAUUUAAGUCAAAAAAAUAACUUCACGGCCACGGCUGCAGCGCUCUGGUGCUCUAGUGAGCCAUCUCUUCGCAGUAGGACUUCGGAGGGCCCUCGGAAUCUUGAAGCUGGUGGCCGAUACGGCUGGUAGAUGCCUUUUAUGCCUGUAUGCAGGAGUGUAAAAACAUAGAAAACUUAACGAAGCUGCUAUGACCUUAGAUGAAGCUGAGUCCUCAAACCCAGGGCAAACCUGUACUCCGCAUGAUGAAGGGAGAAUUUGCACAUGAACAUAACAGGGCACGGAGUAGUGAGUGUGUAAUCGUGGACAACCAGACAAAGGCAGUCAAUGGAUAGACAGUGAGUACGGAAACCUUUACAGAACAACAAAACAGAGAGAGAAAGGGUAGUCUGUGGAGAUACCAAUGAAAAUUUUUUCAAGAAUUGCAUAAAGAACAGUUUAAAAGUUGACAGUGAUGAAAGCCUUUAAGAAUUUGGAAAUGUGGAAAUUCAUACAUUAUUAGUGUUACUGCCGAACCUUUCAAGAGGCUAGCUGGGUAGUAUUUAUUAAAGGUAACAUUUCUAUCCUCUUUAAUGGAUAACACUAAGAACUCAAUAAAAGUGUAUGUGCACUUGUAGUCCAGGCUGCUUGGGAGACUGAGGCAGGGGGAUUGUUUAAGCCCAGGAGUUGGAGACCACCACGAGAAAAAUGGUUAGAUCAUGUCUCAAAAAAAUGAUCAUUUUAAAUGAAUCCACAUGCAUAAGGAUAGUCACUGAUGCCAUAUUAGCCACAGCAAGAAGCUGGGGGGAUUUGUUCAGUGAUGGGAAAGUUGGCUAAGUUGUGAUGUGGACAGACGGAGGGGUGUGUGUGUGCUGCCCAGAACACUAGUGUGGGGUACAUUUUAGGCAUGAAAGGAGCCAUGGUGACUCACAUCCUGUUUAUAAGAAGCAGACUUAUAGAUCAGUCUGCUUGGGGCUCUCAUCUGCUCCUGGAGGAUCUCAUCUGCUCCUGGAGGAUCUCAUCUGCUCCUGGAGGAUCUCAUCUGCUCCUGGAGGAUCUCAUCUGCUCCUGGAGGAUCUCAUCUGCUCCUGGAGGAUCUCAUCUGCUCCUGGAGGAUCUCAUCUGCUAUUGGAGGAUCUCAUCUGCUCCUGGAGGAUCUCAUCUGCUCCUGGAGGAUCUCAUCUGCUACUGGAGGAUCUCAUCCGCUCCUGGAGGAUCUCAUCCACUCCUGGAGGAUCUCAUCCGCUCCUGGAGGAUCUCAUCUGCUCCUGGAGGAUCUCAUCUGCUCCUGGAGGAUCUUAUCUGCUCCUGGAGGAUCUCAUCUGCUCCUGGAGGAUCUCAUCUGCUACUGGAGGAGACUUGACUGCUUUCUUGAUACUUUUAAAAAUUGAAUUAAGUGGUCUUUUUCCAUUUGUUUUUUAAGCUACACUUUUAAAAAAAUUAAGUGAUAUACUUAAGACUUUCAAAGAUGAAAGAUAAUUUGAACAAGCUGUCAAAAUGUUGACAAAUAGAAGUCCUUAGGAUCCUGCUUAAUGACUAAGUAAAAAAAUAAUUUGUUUAUCUGUUUAAUAAGCCACUCAUGUGGGAAAAGAUAGUUCUAAAAUAUAUGGAAAAGACUGAAUAAAGUUAAAUAUUUUGAUAUAA